Molecule: ribosomal RNA, 800 nt
Filed under: uncultured bacterium
Lineage: Bacteria
Description: bacterial SSU rRNA
Rfam family: Bacterial small subunit ribosomal RNA
Source: RNAcentral
UGAACGCUGGCGGCGUGCCUUAGGCAUGCAAGUCGAACGAAAAGUAGCAAUACUUUUAGUGGCAGACGGGUGAGUAACACGUAGGAAUCUACCCUUUGGUGAGGAAUAACGGUUCGAAAGGACCGCUAAUACCACAUAAGUCCGCAAGGAGAAAGACCGUAACUGGUCGCCGAUGGAGGAGCCUGCGUCCCAUCAGCUUGGUGGUGAGGUAAUGGCUCACCAAGGCUAUGACGGGUAGGGGGCGUGAGAGCGUGGCCCCCCACAAGGACACUGAGACACGGGUCCUACACCUACGGGUGGCAGCAACCGGGAAUAUUGCGCAAUGGAGGAAACUCUGACGCAGCGACGCCGCGUGCGGGAUGAAGGCCUUCGGGUUGUAAACCGCUGUGGAGAGGGAUGAAUCUUGACAGUACCUCUCUAGAAAGCACCUGCUAACUACGUGCCAGAAGCCUCGGUAAUACGUAGGGUGCAAGCGUUAUCCGGAUUUACUGGGCGUAAAGCGUCCGUAGGCGGUAUGGUAAGUGGCGGGUUAAAGACUCUGGCUCAACUAGAGGAAAGCUCGCCAAACUGCCAAACUAGAGCUAGUUUGGGGAUACUGGAAUUCUCGGUGGAGGGGUGAAAUCCGUUGAUAUCGAGAAGAACGCCAAAGACGAAGGUAAGUAUCUAGAACUAUGCUGACGCUCAGGGACGAAAGCUAGGGUAGCAAACUGGAUUAGAGACCCAGGUAGUCCUAGCCGUAAACUAUGAACACUAGCUGGUUGGAUGAAUUUCUGACCGGCGCAAGCUAACGCGUUAAGUGU